GAUAAAAAACAAAAACAAAACAAAAACCUUUAUUGUUUUCAUCUAUCCAUACAUAAGAACAGGUAGAGAAGUCAAGGCAUGUAAAAAUCACAGGUCAAAUGUUUUCAUCAAAACUGUCAGGCACAUGUCAUUUCCACACCACAGUAGCAACUGACAAGAAAAACAUAAUGCACAGCCACUAGUGAUUGCAAGAAGAAAGAUGUGCUGAAAUCCUGUCUUGAGGAGCACUGUGCUCCCUGUAGCUCUUUACUCUUGGACCCUGAAUUGUGUGCAGGAUACCAUGCAACUGCAGAGAUAUCCUAGAAGAAUCAUAUUUGCUUUCCUUUGACGCCACAUCAACUACCAAGGAAGGGUUCAGCCCAAGGGAGAAUUAUACCACCACUCCCAUUCUUCAACAUAUCUUCUGCUUGCACAGUAUGCUCACAGUGUGGGAAUUAAUCAAGGACCAGUCACUCCACCAGUCUGUGGCAGAGAUGUGGCCAGAACCAGAGCUGCGACCUAGCCCCAACACAAGUCUUCAGAGAAGAUGUGCUGCUGCUGCCUAUUGCUACUCUCAUGGAGUGCUGAGUUCUCCAGCCACAAAGCUUGUCUAUCCAGCAUGUCCCUGCCCACAGCCUUCCAAACUGAGAAAUGAAACUUACCUGCAGGAAGAUCUGCUGCAACCUCUCUAUACAGCUCUUGUACCAAGGUGUAAAUACAUCAAUUCCACCAGUCUCACAGCGCACCAAGUGCUCAGUUAACAACAUAAUGAAACGCUGCAGGAGAGGAAAAAGAAUACUUAAGUCUCGUCAAAUGAAAGCAGGAUCCUAACCUCAAGUAAGAGGAUCUGGGGGACAGAAGCUUUGAACAGCAACGUGAGAGCAAUUAUUUUGCUUGGCAAACACUGCAUUUAGUAAGCAAAUAAAACCCAGUUACCUUCUGGUUGUUCAGGAAACUGUAUGCUAGCAGAACUCCUCUGUUCCUCAGCACUUGAAACUGAACAGAUCUUGCUCAGAAGCAGUCUUUGCAAGGGGAUGAUCUGGAUUGACUCUAACCCAUAGUAAACCCAUCAACCCCUUCCCCUAUUCUUAUUCCAAGAAGAUGCCCAAGAUACGAGUGACACUGAAACCUUAUAAAUCCAAUAACUUUAAAACCCGAAGGUGAGAAGAGACUUUGCCCAUCAUUACCUGGAAUAUAACAAGGAAGAGAUUCUUUUGCUCACUCUGGGCUGACUCUACUUUCUCCUGCAAGCGCUCUAUCUGCUCUUCUAGCGGUCCAUCUUCCCGAUCGCUGCUUCGGUCGUCGUCAUCAUCAUCAUCAUCACUGUCUCGCUGUAAGUGACAACACAAGACUAACUAGCAACUUGUGGAUGCUGUUAAUGCCCUCCGGUUCCACAUGUGAAAAGGUCUGCAGAGCAACUGAAAAGCAGCAACUGAAGCUGCUCUGUAGCUUGGGUUUUGCAAGACUCAGCAGUGAGCUACUAAAGACUUUUAUGCGGAUCUUCAGGCUCCCAUUUUGCCAGGGAGAAAACGUGCAGAAAGAAUUCCAGGUCAGGGAAGAAGCUAUCAGAGACACAGCUGCUCUACCAACAUGUAACAGUGCUGAUGGACAGCAGCAGAGAAAGACAGCAAAGGAAACUGGAGAGUUAUGCACCAAGCUGAAGGCCUGGCAGACCAUAAAGAAGCGAGAGUGGAUGAAGAGAGGGGAAGGUAAGCAUGAUUACGAUACAGAGGUUGGCUAUUUAAUGACAUGGGAGAAGGGUCCAACAAGCAUGCAUAGCAAAUAUGGGUACUAGGCGUGAAUGGUGCCAACUCCCCUCCGGUAGCUGCAGCUACCUGCAGCUGAAGACAGGCAGGAGGGAGAGCACUCAUUAGUGGGUGAUGUCUAAAGCAAAUCAGGAAACAUGACUGUGGAUCCCACGGCAAAAAAACUCAGAUCGUUGCUGCUCACUGCUUGUAUAACAGAACACCUGCAGAUAUUACAGAAAAGUUGAAGCUGUCCCCAUUGUAAAGAUCACUUCUUAAUUCUCUGUCUCGCACUCCUUCUCACUCCCUAAAACGCACAAGCGUUUAAGAACCAAUGCUGUCUGUGUCUGCAAAGCUACAAUGAACAUGAGUGGAGUUCCAUCCUGAGUUUCUAUUCAUGGAAGACUACAGCCAGCAGGCUGGCUAUCUUAUCUGUCGUGGGAGUGCACCAAGGGAAGGGAAGCUCUCAGGGCACAAGCGCUGAAUCUCAGAGGUGAGGAUAACAGCAUGAACUGCACUCUUGCUGAAGGCAAGGGAAAGUUAAGUUCUUUCAUGCCACAUCUGUCAAUAAUCACAAGAAAACACACCUUAAGCACUAGGUUACCUCUGUUAAGAAAAACAGGCCUGCCUCUGCAUGUAAGAUGUUUACAAUAACCCCUAACAAUGGUGCAUUAUUUCCAUUUACUGAUAAAUUUAAACCAACUAUUAGAAGGAAAAGCAUACAGUUCUGUUCACCACCACACUUACAGCUCCAAAGGAUGGCAGAUCAUUCUACACACAAAAGAAAUUACAGCCUGCCAAAGCCUAGCAGCAUAUAUCUUACCAUCAUCAUCAUCCUGGUUUGGAUUGGGCACAUCUUUUAAAAUGCUGAAGAUUUCAUCAUUGCUGGCCUUAUUUUUAAUUGCGAUUGUUAAACAGAGUGCCACAGUAUAUCCAGGAAGAGACCCUAAACAAGAGCAAAGAGGUCAAAAUAUGUCGAAGGCAAGUGAGUAUUUUUAACACCAGUUUCUCUCUCAGAGAAACAAGUACACUUCCCAACUACACCUAAAACUAGCUGUUUCUAAUAUCAUUGUCCACAUCACUAUUCCAUAAAACUGCUCAAGACUUUUCCUGGUCUUCACAUUAAAUACAAAACUUCCAGUAGAACCUUUAGAACUGAGGUCAGGUAAUCACUCUCCCGUCUAAAGCUCUACUUCAGCUUUCACGAAUAUCCUAAAAAUACAAUACUUCCUUGUUUUUCCUCACUGUAUCUUUGACGAUGACACUUUCAUGCUUAGGAUUGUCUUUACACUGAGUAGUAAAAGGAAUAGUAGUAAAAGGAAUAAUAAUGUAUCUCUCUAUUUCAAUCUUUAUGUCAUCUGCUGCCUCUGUAUGCUUCAUUAAACCAAGUUCACUGGUAAAAUCUUCUACUGUUUCAUGAAGUUCAAAAAAUAAACUCACAUUAUCACUUUA
This is a long non-coding RNA of Aquila chrysaetos chrysaetos, 3176 nucleotides long. RefSeq lists it as uncharacterized. The record is from RefSeq and is a predicted model, not a curated record. Lineage: Eukaryota; Metazoa; Chordata; Aves; Accipitriformes; Accipitridae. The transcript is spliced from 3 exons.